GUUCCUACAACUUAUCCUUUUAUUCUUUCAAUGCCCAUUGGCAAUCAUUAUUUCACCUGACCGUUUGAUUUUUUUUUCAGCUUGAAUAUAGGUUCACACGUGGCUGUUAGAUGAGAUGUGAACCAUGACAGGUAGUUCAAUCUUUCUAAGAAACCACGAACCUCUCUUUUUCUUUCUCGGUUCAGGCAUUUCUCUUAUUGUUUUUUUACCUUUUUUUUUUUUUUUUUUUUUUUUUUUUUUUUUUUUUUUUUUUUUUUU
This 258-nucleotide long non-coding RNA is filed under the name Lathyrus oleraceus (garden pea). RNAcentral describes it as "Pisum sativum (pea) long non-coding RNA (PSAT_LNC020139)". Lineage: Eukaryota; Viridiplantae; Streptophyta; Magnoliopsida; Fabales; Fabaceae. The record is from RNAcentral.